This is an RNA transcript of Amphiprion ocellaris (clown anemonefish), 3383 nucleotides long. It is a transcript of the gene named protein AMBP-like, with no coding region annotated. The record is from RefSeq and is a predicted model, not a curated record. The transcript is spliced from 8 exons. NCBI's taxonomy places the organism in Eukaryota, Metazoa, Chordata, Actinopteri, Pomacentridae.
ACACACAAUAACAUGCAUGAACACAGGGACAAGAUAAAGACACAAUCGGAACUUUGCUCUUUUACUAUUUCUUGGUGGGAGGGAAUUCAGAAAAAGCCUACAGGGUGUCGUUUUGACCCAGAAAGGCUGGCAGAGAACAGUUGGACUGUUGACAGAUAGUAAAGCCUCUCAGAAACAGGGUGGAAACAUAGGUUUUUAGGAUGCACACAGCGGUGAGUUUGGUGUUUCUGCUGAUCCUGGGGUCAGUCUGGACCCUCCAGGUGGCCGCUGUGCUGCCAGAAAGUCAGGCUAACUUUGAUUUGGACCAGUUUAUGGGAAGCUGGUAUGAGCUGGCAGUGGUCUCUAACUGCCCACACUACAUGCAGCACAAGAGAGAAAACCCCGUCGUUGUUGCGCUGGAGCUCAAACAUGCUGCUUCUGAGCAAAACUUCACAAUGACGGCGACUACUUUCAGGAAUGAUUCCUGUAAGGAGACGUCCACCGUUUACAGUCUGACCGACACUCCAGGACGAUUCUUCCACCAUUUUGCAAGGUUUGCGGCUGACAUUGAUUCCUUCGUGGUUCAUACUAACUACAAUGAGUUUGCUGUGAUGCUUCAGCUGAGCACAGAGAAACCUUCAGAAACUAAAACCACCAAAAUCAAGCUUUACAGUCGAACCACGGACACAAGUCCUGCCGCACUCGAUCUCUUUCAAGCUCUGGUCAGACAACAUGGGAUGAGUAAUGAUGCUGUCAUCAGGAAUCAGUCCAAAGGUGAUUGUGUUCCAGGUGAACAGCUGACAGAGGCCACAAAAACAAAUGUGGAGCCAAAGGAAUCCGCUGGUAUCUGACCUGGUGAGAAGACAAGAGACGCAGCGUUUGUCUUCGUUUGGUUUAAAACAUUUUCUCCACUUGUUAUACACAGACUCAGGCUCCCACAGGUCACAUAUGGCAGCCAGUAGGAACUGAAAUGUAGAAUUAAAUGAAGGGUAUCUUUGUGCCUUUAGGGUCCGUGUAUAUUUUGGCAAUUGGAUUGUCCGUUCUGAAACGGGUAUUGAAAUACAAAAAACGAGUGGCUAUUUGAUUUUCGUUUUAAAAUACAAAAAAUAAAAUUGAAAUAAAAGGCGUUUUUCCUUUUUAUGAUCAAAAAGGGAUAUACUAAAUUUUAAAAAUGCUUUGAUUUUCAUUUUAUAUUUAGAAUAACAAAAAAGUAAAAUCAGUAAUAGACAGAAACGAAAAAAGGUCCGUUUUUUCAUUUUCUGAGACCGGAAGUGGUCAUCAGCAAGUGUGGAGCCAAACAGAGUACGGUGCAUAGACUGGAUUUUUUUUUUCGUAAGUUUUCAUGGUCAAAUGAGAGAUCAGGUGGCUGAUCUUAAAAUAAAUCAAUAUUGAUUUUUUUAUAGAGCGUUAAAGUUUUGCGAAGCCAGGGGGCGGGGCUACUUGAUUGACAGUCUGGUCUGGAAAGAUUGACAGGUCCUAUGGAGGAGGCAGCAGAGACUCUGCUCUCCUCGUUUGGAUUAAUUCUAAUAUAAUAACUGUUGGUUUAUUUAUCGGUGGAGCAGCAGAACAUUUUCCACAGACAGUUUUCCUGCCCGUUGGCUUGUUUUAACCAGUUUUCUGCCUUCGGCUGAUUCUACCAACAGACACUGAAAGGACUCUGAUAGUUCGAGUGAAAGUAGCAGUUCCUCCUGAAGGUCAGAGAUUGCAGCAUCUGAGGGCCUCUUCAAAAGAAGACGUAGUUGAUGAAGGCGUUCUGGAGCAGGACCAGAAAGACCACGACCAAGCAGCCUUGAGAUCUUAGGCAGCGUCUCCCUCAGAUCCCUCUCUAUCUCCCCACACAUCCACCAACCACUGGAACACAUCUCCAAAGUUCUGCUGGUCCAGCUCAGCUUCCCCUCAGAAGAAGUGCCACCACCUGCCAGAUGAAGGAGCCUUUUGAGAGGCAGCUGGCAUCGUGAUUGGACUGUACUUUGGUCUGUUCCAAUCCAGCUUCAGCUCCAGAGACGGCAGGCGGGACGAGUCAACGGAGGCCGGAUGGACGAAGACAUGCAGCUGAGUACAAUCCAGAAAACAACAGAGGAGGAGUGCAGCAGCCCAGAGCCAGAACAACCAGAGUAGCAUCGUAUGUCUCUUAGAAAACAUCAUAGUAUAGCCUUUGGGAUGAAAAAAUGCCAUCAUAUACAUCGUAUAUUGUACAAAUAACAAGUCAAAGGAAAGAGACAUACAUUGUAGAAUUGUAGUAAUUGUGGGCUGCCUGAUUUACUGAUUAUCAGUGUUUUAUUUUUUACUGAUUUAUGGUAAUAAAUGAAUUUAAAAAUGGCGCUACUUUGGCUGUGAACCUUUAUCUACCUGUGGUCGCUCUGUCUUCUGGAGUGAUUUGAUUGGUUAUACGUCACGAAUACAACUCCUUUAACUUAACAUCUGUAAACAAAACAAAAAAAUAUCAACAAAGUUUUCUGUUAGAGUUUGUGUUCUUCUAAGUUUAACUCAAGAUUUUAAAUACUUUCAUUUACUGCAAAUGAAUAUCUACUCCAAAUGUCUCACUAAUAAUCAUUAUCAGCCUUAAAAACCCACAAAACACCCCUCUAUACUCGACCACACUUAGUACAGUCUGGUUCCCCCUUCUAUAAAUGUGCUUGGAAUCUUCCACUUCCUGUUUGUCAAAGUGGCCUUCUACCUGGACAGGUUUUGUUGGAGCUCAUGCAACAAACAUUUUGGGUAACUGCACUUUAAUAUGGAUGGAUGACACUGAAUUAGAGUCUGUUUUAAUGAGACUGAGUUGAGAUGUGUAGCUCUGUCAUUAAAUAGUAAAUUAUUUCUCAGAAUUCACAGAGAAAAGUCUGAAAUGUUUGCUAGGUUAGCGUCCCACAUGUUCUUUGGCUCAGCUAAAGCUAACUCUCUCCAACUUCUGGAUCUCUUGAGUUGCUUGUUGUUAAAAUAUCUUGCUAGAGGUGCUGAAGCUCAGAAAGUCUGAGAUGUUUGUUCAAAAUAAGCUCAUUCUCAAGUCUGAUCUGAACUGUCCUCUUUUGUUUGAACUUUCCCUAAACUUAGGAGUUAAUGACAGAGCAGCACAUCCAGACUCAGUCUCAUUUAUGUAGAGAUUAAACUUCAGUGUCAUUCAUUGAUGUUAAAGUGCAGUUUUUCAAAUGUUUGUUGCACAUGCUCCCGACCAAACCAGUCCAGGUGGAAGACGAUGUGAAGAGAAAGCUCCAGAGGAUGAAUAUCAUACAUUUACGUUGGAAAUAAAUGUCCUUUAAUUAGAUAUUGUCAUGCAAAAGUUGGAUUUCCCUUUAAUGAUGUUCAAAUCUUUGUUGAGUGUUUUGUUGAUGUUGGUUUCUAAAUGUUUUCUGACACUCGGCCCCAAAGAUUAAAACCUUCUACAGCUCACAAGCUGCAACAAUUCA